UACAAUAUGCAAAUGAUGGGAACCUAGAUUCCUGUUGUUGUUAUUCUUGUUGCUAAUGUGACUGUUAUAGUUGUUGUUUGCGGUCUGUCUCCAGCGUUAGCAGGUCAAGAGCUUUUCACAGCCAGUUCUCGAUAAAAUUUAGCAUUGAGAUGUCAAUCAGCUGACAAAUGCUAAACCAAAUUCGAAACAGAGCUGAGUAAAUGCUGAAAAAGUACGUGUGCGUGUCUGUGUGUGUGUGUGUGUGUGUGUGUGUGUUUGUGCUUAUGGGCAGUGUUAAUAUAAAACGCAAUCAAAAUCAAAUCAAAUGAAAAUUAUUUCGAGUUGAGUUGUAUGUUGACAACUUCAUUAUGUUUGCAUUGCUUUGGCGUAUUCUCUGUGUUUGUCCGGCAAUAUGACUAACAAGCGGACACACACACACACACACACCCAUCCAAAUACCAACACCAACACCAAGGCAUAUACCAAAACGGGACGCACAUUAAAAGCAACCAGACGAGCCGCAAAUGGAACUAAUUUGAUGUGUGAAUAACAGCAAUGAAAAGAGGCAGCUUUUACUAUGAUGAUGGGGGGAAGGGACGGUGACAUGGUGGCAGCAGAGGGGUGCGAGGCAUAUAUAUGCGUGUAUUGAUGUGGUAUAUCGGUAUGCCUUAAAUAACAGCAGGACGAGAGCAAACGUUGUGAAGCCAGAAUACAAGCACAAUGUCAAUGUGAGUGAGCAGAGGGCAGCAGGCGAGACAAAUCGAAUGAUAAGCCAAGCUUGCUGGCAUGGCUGUAGGUAUAGAUGAAGGCAGACAGCUUGAUGCCAGCCGAAUAUCAUAGGAAAUUCGAUAAACUCGAAAAUCUGUAGCACAAUGUCCUCUGUCCUCUGUCCUCUCCUAUUUGAUGCAGUGCCACAUCGACCAUACAAUAAGGCCAAUUCAUAAGCACCAACAGCAACAGCAAGAACAACAACAAUAAUAAGAGCACAAUGCUGGUUGCUUGUGUAGUGAUUAAAGGCCACAACGGCUGAUUUUAAAUCCGGUGUCCAAUAAAACAAAAUGAAUUGUGUGAGUGCAUAAAGAAUGAGCGAACAGAUUGAAUUGAGCACAAUUGCGAAAGUGCUUAUGCGUUUUGCAUUCAAUUGCUGCUGAAUGGCUCUUGGCUGAAUGGCUAAAAUACAAAGUAAUUGAUGUGUUUACAUAAAUGUUAAUUACGACCUGCCAAUGAAUAUAAGAAUCAAAUGAAUUGUAAACGCAUAGAAAUGAAUAACAAAUGAAACAAUUACUUUUUCUCAUAGAUUUUAAACCAAAAUAUUUCAAGCGAAGAGCUUACGAACUGAGAAUUUAAUUAUUUCUUCAAAUAUCCGCUAAGAAUAACAAAUGAAUCAGUUGUCUAAUAGAAUAAAAUAAAGAUAAAA
This is a non-coding RNA of Drosophila virilis, 1396 nucleotides long. The record is from RefSeq and is a predicted model, not a curated record. Lineage: Eukaryota; Metazoa; Arthropoda; Insecta; Diptera; Drosophilidae.